AAUAGAUACCCGGGUAGUCCACGCCGUAAACGAUGAGUGCUAGGUGUUAGGGGGGUCCAACCCCUUAGUGCUGAAGUUAACACAUUAAGCACUCCGCCUGGGGAGUACGACCGCAAGGUUGAAACUCAAAGGAAUUGACGGGGGCCCGCACAAGCAGUGGAGCAUGUGGUUUAAUUCGAAGCAACGCGAAGAACCUUACCAGGUCUUGACAUCCUCUGACAACCCUAGAGAUAGGGCGUUCCCCCUUCGGGGGACAGAGUGACAGGUGGUGCAUGGUUGUCGUCAGCUCGUGUCGUGAGAUGUUGGGUUAAGUCCCGCAACGAGCGCAACCCUUGAUGUUAGUUGCCAGCAUUCAGUUGGGCACUCUAACGUGACUGCCGGUGACAAACCGGAGGAAGUGGGGAUGACGUCAAAUCAUCAUGCCCCUUAUGACCUGGGCUACACACGUGCUACAAUGGGCGGUACAAAGGGCAGCGAAACCGCGAGGUGGAGCCAAUCCCAUAAAGCCGCUCUCAGUUCGGAUUGCAGGCUGC
Molecule: ribosomal RNA, 533 nt
Filed under: uncultured bacterium
Lineage: Bacteria
Description: bacterial SSU rRNA
Rfam family: Bacterial small subunit ribosomal RNA
Source: RNAcentral